AUUGAACGCUGGCGGCAUGCUUUACACAUGCAAGUCGAACGGCAGCACGGGUGCUUGCACCUGGUGGCGAGUGGCGGACGGGUGAGUAAUACAUCGGAACGUAUCCUGAAGUGGGGGAUAACGCAUCGAAAGAUGUGCUAAUACCGCAUAUACUCUGAGGAGGAAAGUAGGGGAUCGAAAGACCUUAUGCUUUUGGAGCGGCCGAUGUCUGAUUAGCUAGUUGGUAAGGUAAUGGCUUACCAAGGCAACGAUCAGUAGUUGGUCUGAGAGGACGACCAGCCACACUGGGACUGAGACACGGCCCAGACUCCUACGGGAGGCAGCAGUGGGGAAUUUUGGACAAUGGGCGCAAGCCUGAUCCAGCAAUGCCGCGUGAGUGAAGAAGGCCUCGGGUUGUUAAAGGCUCUUUCAGUUGAGAAGAAAGAUAGUAACUAAUAAUUAGCAAU
RNAcentral lists this ribosomal RNA (446 nucleotides) under uncultured bacterium. RNAcentral describes it as "bacterial SSU rRNA". It matches the Rfam family "Bacterial small subunit ribosomal RNA", at positions 30 to 476 of the family's 1533-position model. The record is from RNAcentral.